This 292-nucleotide ribosomal RNA is filed under the name uncultured bacterium. RNAcentral describes it as "partial 16S ribosomal RNA". It matches the Rfam family "Bacterial small subunit ribosomal RNA", at positions 505 to 796 of the family's 1533-position model. The record is from RNAcentral.
GUGCCAGCAGCCGCGGUAAGACAGAGGAUGCAAGCGUUAUCCGGAAUGAUUGGGCGUAAAGCGUCUGUAGGUGGUUUGACAAGUCUUCUGUCAAAGAUCAGGGCUUAACCCUGGGCAGGCAGGAGAAACUAUUAGGCUAGAGUUCGGUAGGGGCAGAGGGAAUUCCCGGUGGAGCGGUGAAAUGCGUAGAGAUCGGGAGGAACACCAAAGGCGAAAGCACUCUGCUGGGCCGCGACUGACACUGAGAGACGAAAGCGAGGGGAGCAAAUGGGAUUAGAUACCCCCGUAGUCC